GUGGGGAAUAUUGCACAAUGGGCGGAAGCCUGAUGCAGCGACGCCGCGUGGGGGAUGACGGCCUUCGGGUUGUAAACCUCUUUCGACAGGGACGAAGUGAAAAUGACGGUACCUGUAUAAGAAGCACCGGCUAACUACGUGCCAGCAGCCGCGGUAAUACGUAGGGUGCGAGCGUUGUCCGGAAUUACUGGGCGUAAAGAGCUCGUAGGUGGUUUGUCACGUCGUCUGUGAAAUUCCGGGGCUUAACCUCGGGCGUGCAGGCUAUACGGGCAAUACUUGAGUGCUGUAGGGGAGACUGGAAUUCCUGGUGUAGCGGUGAAAUGCGCAGAUAUCAGGAGGAACACCAAUGGCGAAGGCAGGUCUCUGGGCAGUUACUGACGCUGAGGAGCGAAAGCAUGGGUAGCGAACAGGAUUAGAUACCCCUGUAGUCC
RNAcentral lists this ribosomal RNA (431 nucleotides) under uncultured bacterium. RNAcentral's name for it is "bacterial SSU rRNA". It matches the Rfam family "Bacterial small subunit ribosomal RNA", at positions 354 to 796 of the family's 1533-position model. The record is from RNAcentral.